GGCUGAAUAGCUCAGUGUAAGAGUAGUCGCCCGGAAAGCGAAAGACUCGGGUUCGACUCUCGAUUCAGCGA
This 71-nucleotide transfer RNA is filed under the name Camponotus floridanus (Florida carpenter ant). It matches the Rfam family "tRNA". From Rfam's summary of the family: Transfer RNA (tRNA) molecules are approximately 80 nucleotides in length. Their secondary structure includes four short double-helical elements and three loops (D, anti-codon, and T loops). Lineage: Eukaryota; Metazoa; Arthropoda; Insecta; Hymenoptera; Formicidae. The record is from Rfam by way of RNAcentral.